GAUGAAGAACGUAGCGAAAUGCGAUAAGUAAUGUGAAUUGCAGAAUUCAGUGAAUCAUCGAAUCUUUGAACGCACAUUGCGCCCGCCAGCAUUCUGGCGGGCAUGCCUGUUCGAGCGUCAUUUCAACCAUCAAGCCCCCGGGCUUGUGUUGGGGACCUGCGGCUGCCGCAGGCCCUGAAAAGCAGUGGCGGGCUCGCUGUCACACCGAGCGUAGUAGAUUUUAUCUCGCUCUGGGCGUGCUGCGGGUUCCGGCCGUUAAACCACCCUUUUAACCCAAGGUUGACCUCGGAUCAGGUAGGAAGACCCGCUGAACUUAAGCAUAUCAAUAAGCGGAGGA
Molecule: unclassified non-coding RNA, 337 nt
Filed under: soil metagenome
Description: partial contains 5.8S ribosomal RNA, internal transcribed spacer 2, and large subunit ribosomal RNA
Rfam family: 5.8S ribosomal RNA (bases 1-120)
Source: RNAcentral